This 497-nucleotide ribosomal RNA is filed under the name uncultured bacterium. Its description in RNAcentral is "partial 16S ribosomal RNA". It matches the Rfam family "Bacterial small subunit ribosomal RNA", at positions 28 to 507 of the family's 1533-position model. The record is from RNAcentral.
GAUGAACGCUGGCGGCGUGCCUAAUACAUGCCAGUCGAGCGAACAGACGAGGAGCUUGCUCCUCUCACGUUAGCGGCGGACGGGUGAGUAACACGUGGAUAACCUACCUAUAAGACUGGGAUAACUUCGGGAAACCGGAGCUAAUACCGGAUAAUAUAUUGAACCGCAUGGUUCAAUAGUGAAAGACGGUUUUGCUGUCACUUAUAGAUGGAUCCGCGCCGCAUUAGCUAGUUGGUAAGGUAACGGCUUACCAAGGCGACGAUGCGUAGCCGACCUGAGAGAGUGAUCGGCCACACUGGAACUGAGACACGGUCCAGACUCCUACGGGAGGCAGCAGUAGGGAAUCUUCCGCAAUGGGCGAAAGCCUGACGGAGCAACGCCGCGUGAGUGAUGAAGGUCUUCGGAUCGUAAAACUCUGUUAUUAGGGAAGAACAAAUGUGUAAGUAACUAUGCACGUCUUGACGGUACCUAAUCAGAAAGCCACGGCUAACUACGUG